This is a long non-coding RNA of Salvelinus sp. IW2-2015, 299 nucleotides long. RefSeq lists it as uncharacterized. Lineage: Eukaryota; Metazoa; Chordata; Actinopteri; Salmoniformes; Salmonidae. The record is from RefSeq and is a predicted model, not a curated record.
CCCAUCGUCGCCCGGAUUUGGCCGGGGUAGGCCGUCAUUCUGUGCAGUGCCACUGCAGGAAAGGGGGCUGGAUAAGCAUGAGACCAUCUCCCACUCUACCCUCUUGAGACAUGUCCCAUGCUAAUUGAGGAACUGUUCUGCAUUACAUGCAACUGAACAACCCCCAAAGCUUGGCUCCGCCCCCAGCUUCUGGCCCAGCCUAUGAAAGCUCUGCUGUUAGAUGAAAUGGUUCAAAUGAUUAGCCCCUCUAUAUUACCACUGUAUAACAAUGAAUGCUAUUAAAUAAUACAACAAAAAUA